Long non-coding RNA from Raphanus sativus (radish), 1098 nucleotides. RefSeq lists it as uncharacterized. The transcript is spliced from 3 exons. NCBI's taxonomy places the organism in Eukaryota, Viridiplantae, Streptophyta, Magnoliopsida, Brassicales, Brassicaceae. The record is from RefSeq and is a predicted model, not a curated record.
GAUCACCAGCUACAUCAUGCGCUGCGUUUUGAUAGGUUGGUGGAGACCUUUUGUCGUCACUGUCGACGUAUCGUCUCCUUCCUCUCCCGAUAUCAGAGAAACCGAACAAUCGGAUUUAAUCCUCUCAUUAAUCGAUCAACCACGAUGUAGAAUCAAUGCGGGAUUUAAUUGCAUAUAGCGAUGGAGACGACUAUAAGAAGUCCGGCCGAUCCUCCUCCACCGUCGAAGUGCGCUUGCUCUGCUUCUGGGAGACGAAAAACGUCCGCCGUGGUGGAGAGCUCAUGGGCAUCUGACAUGUUUUUGGUUGAUUUUCAGGUUAUAUAUUAAAACCGCCUUCUCAUAAAGACAUGGGAUUGCAUACUUAACUUUGGUCUAUAUGACUGAAGGCUAAGAAGACCAGAAGAAUUGUGUCAGGUGCAAGUCAACUGCAAAGUCAUGAAAAUUGAGCUAUUGAUGGGCCAUUUUACAAUGAAGAUCCAUGUCCCAGCUUCCCCUGUUUUGUUUGUCUGUUGGUAUUUUCUGUAGUGAAAGUCCUCAUCCUUUGUCAGGGAACUGUUAAAUCGGCACAAAGCAAUUUUGGGCUUUAAUUCUUGCAUAUACCUUUUACUCCUCUCUAUCUAAUCUAAGAUCAUAUGGAUUUACUAAUGAGUAUACCUAUAAUAUUUGUCUCAGUUUCAGGCUGCAGUUGUGGUAGAAGAGAUGAUUAAGACAGAGUGCUUGAAAAAUGAGCUGUGGUACUGUUCUUCUCUUUCGACAGCUGUUAAAAUGCUCUAUGUACAAUAAAACCAUAACUCAAUCAGAUCGUAUGGAUGAGACAAAGCCAAUCGACUUACCAGAACAGAAGUCACAACCAGUUUCGGAUCCACAAGAACAAAGCAUCAGAGGAAAGUACAGGAAACACAGUAGAAAAGCUUCAGGGCGCAAGGCGCAAAAACGGAGGCUUCUUUAUCAAAGUAGAGUUUAUGUGUAGCAGUGUAGAUAUAUGUAAUAUUGUAAUUCUUCAACCCGGAAGCGGAGCUGUGAUGAGCCGAGAGAAUAUGUGUACAGAUACAUAUAUGAGACGACUAACUAUUGUGGAGUAAAUAAAUAUUUAAACAA